RNAcentral lists this transfer RNA (72 nucleotides) under Camelus bactrianus (Bactrian camel). It matches the Rfam family "tRNA". From Rfam's summary of the family: Transfer RNA (tRNA) molecules are approximately 80 nucleotides in length. Lineage: Eukaryota; Metazoa; Chordata; Mammalia; Artiodactyla; Camelidae. RNAcentral also lists the same sequence under 2 other names. The record is from Rfam by way of RNAcentral.
GAGGUUAUAGCUCAGUGGUAGAGCACAUGCUUAGAAUGCAUGAGGUCCUGGGUUCAAUCCCCAGUACCUCCA